This 500-nucleotide ribosomal RNA is filed under the name uncultured bacterium. Its description in RNAcentral is "partial 16S ribosomal RNA". It matches the Rfam family "Bacterial small subunit ribosomal RNA", at positions 899 to 1397 of the family's 1533-position model. The record is from RNAcentral.
ACUCAAAUGAAUUGACGGGGGCCCGCACAAGCGGUGGAGUAUGUGGUUUAAUUCGACGCAACGCGAAGAACCUUACCAACCUUUGACAUGUCCAGUAUGGAUCCGAGAGAUCAGAUCCUUCAGUUCGGCUGGCUGGAACACAGAUGCUGCAUGGCUGUCGUCAGCUCGUGUCGUGAGAUGUUGGGUUAAGUCCCGCAACGAGCGCAACCCUCAUCUUCAGUUGCUACCAUUCAGUUGGGCACUCUGAAGAAACCGCCGGUGACAAGCCGGAGGAAGGUGGGGAUGACGUCAAGUCCUCAUGGCUCUUACAGGUUGGGCUACACACGUACUACAAUGGUGGUGACAAUGGGUCGCGAAGCCGCGAGGCGGAGCCAAUCCCCAAAAGCCAUCUCAGUUCAGAUUGCACUCUGCAACUCGAGUGCAUGAAGUUGGAAUCGCUAGUAAUCGCAGAUCAGCACGCUGCGGUGAAUACGUUCCCGGGCCUUGUACACACCGCCCGU